UCACUUCUAUAUUUUAUAUUGUAGUUUUAUUUCCAAUGUUGUACAUAUGUAUGAGAUUAGAUAUUUUUCAUAUAACUGGUGAGAAAAGAGACAAUUGUCAUAAUAGGAAUUUUCUCGAUGGAUUCAACUUUCAUUUUUUCUCUAUCUACGUUCAAAGAAUUUUCUUGCAUAUUUCUCGAGCGAUCUUCAUAUUCACAAAUCUAACAUGGUAUCAGAUUCCGGCAAACGAUUCCUCUUCUUCUAAGCUUUCUUCCGAUGGUACACUUGCUCGUGGUUUCAAAGAUUUUGAGUUUCGGAGAUUUCGGAUUUAACGUGUUGGUUCAGAGAUUUCGAGCUUCUCUGGUCAUCUACUCAUAAAGGUUUUCAACUGUUUGUUCAAUUGUAUGAAGUCCUUUGCUUCUUCAGGAUAUAUGAGAAGUUUGAUAAAUUUAUUCCCUUCUCUCAUAUCGUUGCUCAAGUUGUGAUUUAUCAACUUUGGUUGAUAAAUUGAUAAGAAUAGUUUCGAGGAUCUCGUUGUAGUUGUCAUUUAUAGCUCUUCGAUUUACUAUUGAUUUGAGCUAUAUUAUAGUUUUAUUGUGUUUUGAGCCGCAUUCUGACAUUAUUGUGGUGAUUUGAGCUAUAUUGCAAUAGUAUUUUAACUGUGUAUACCCUUGCUGGUAGUGUAUUUCACACAUAGUGUAAGUCGUAGAAGAUGAGUUCAGAAACGACUUAAGGUUUUAUGUCUUUUACACUCGAAACCUCUCAUCCCUUCUAUGUUCACCCUUUAGAUACUCCUGGUAGCCAAAUAAUGGUUGUUCCCUUCUUUUGUUCUGGUUUCACUAUCUAGAGAAGUAGCAUGAUGACUUCUCUCUCAGCUAAAAACAAGCUGAGUAUUCUAGAUGGCUGAACACCUGCUCUACCUAGUGAAUUACAAGAUUUUCCCUAUUGGCAAAGGUGUAAUGACAUGGUAAAAUCAUGGAUACUUAAUUCUAUAUCAAGAGAUAUAGCAAUAAGUUUCAUAUCUCUCAGAGUUGCAAAAGAAAUAUGGGAGGAUCUGAAUGUCAGGUUUGGACAAUCAAAUAGUUCAAGAUACAUUCAGAUCCAAAAUAAAAUUCACUCCACCACUCAAGGGUCUUCUAACGUUGCCUCUUAUUACAUUAGGUUUACGAGUCUUUGGGAUGAACUCAAUUUUUCUUAUGUUGGUCCUAACUGUACUUGUGGAGCCUUGUCUAAAUUCAUAGAGGAUCAACAACUUUUUUAGUUUCUAAAUGGGUUGAAUGAUUUUUUCUCCACACUCAAGAGUAGUAUUUUGAUGAUGUCUUAUCUUCCUUCUGUCAACAAGGUUUAUUCUUGUUAUUACAAGAUGAAUGUCAGAAAGAGAAUCACUCUUCUACUGCUACAUUUUCUGGAGACUCAGCUGCCUGCCUAACCUCAUCAUCCCCUAAUUCUAAUAAAACCUAUUACCAAUCAAACUUCUCCAGUAAGAGUAAUAUAAGUGCAUAUCCCCAGAACAAUAGAGGAUAUUAUCAAAGGAUCAAUUUUGAUUUCAAGAAGCCUUAGUUUCCAUCACCAGCUAAUACUACUUCAUUAUUUUGCAUCUAUUAUAAGAAACCUGGACAUGCAGUGGAAAAAUGCUAUAGGCUCAUUAGUUUUCCCACAGAUUUCAAGUUCACAAAGAACAAGAAAACUGUUUCAUGUGUCCAAACUGAUGGUAACUUGUCUGUUUCUCCAUCCUGCCCAGUCUUUCCAAUAUUACUACUGAUGGGUAUUCAAAUGGGAGCAAUAUCAAAAUCUACAAACUCUCUUUCACUAGCAAUGUCCAGUAGUUUCCUUCUGUAACAAUGCAUUUCUAAAUUUAGAAGAGUUUUCUUCGAAUUCCACUGGUUUUGCACAUUUAACAGGUCUGUUCACUGUUUAUGCUGCUAGUUCCUUGAACCCUCAUGAAUCUGAAUCAGGUUCAAUAGGUUUACAUCCAUGGAUCUUAGACUCUGGAGCCACAAAUCACAUGACACCUCACAAAUAUCUUCUACACAAUAUUUCCCUUCUUACUAUACCUUUCCUAGUCACUCUUCCAGAUGGGUACAAAGUAAAAGUUUUUCCCGUUGGUUCCUUGACUUUAAGAUCUAAUAUCAUACUUUCUUAUGUCCUUCUAGUCCCUUCUUUUUAAUUCAACUUAAUUUCUAUUCACCAGCUUAUAUCUCAAUUUAAUUGUAACGCUUUACUUACCAAGUCUCAUUGCUAUUUACAGGGUCCUUCACUGAAGAGGUUGUGGUAGUUGGCAAGGUUGCAGGCAGGCUCUAUUAUCUACAUUCGGAUGAUGAAAUUUUCUCUUCCACUUCUACAAACACAUCACUUACUAUUAUUCCAUAGUCAUCAAAUUCCACUACUACUACUUCUUACUUACAUUCUCCUUCUAGUACUGAUAUUCCUUGUGAUAUUUCUUGUAAUGUUCUUCCUUUUUGUAAUUUUAGUUUUGACAUAAAUAAAAUAGAUUUAUUUUGGCAUCAAA
Molecule: long non-coding RNA, 2488 nt
Filed under: Capsicum annuum
Lineage: Eukaryota; Viridiplantae; Streptophyta; Magnoliopsida; Solanales; Solanaceae
Description: long non-coding RNA (CANN_LNC008855)
Source: RNAcentral